CCUACGGGAGGCAGCAGUGGGGAAUAUUGCGCAAUGGGCGAAAGCCUGACGCAGCGACGCCGCGUGAGGGAUGAAGGUCUUCGGAUCGUAAACCUCUGUCAGCAGGGAAGAAUGGUCACUGUGCUAAUCAGCAGUGAAUUGACGGUACCUGCAAAGGAAGCACCGGCUAACUCCGUGCCAGCAGCCGCGGUAAUACGGAGGGUGCGAGCGUUAAUCGGAAUUACUGGGCGUAAAGCGCUCGUAGGCGGUAUGUCAAGUCAAGGGUGAAAUCCCCGCGCUCAACGUGGGAACUGCCUUUGAAACUGGCAAACUGGAGUGUGUGAGAGGAUAGUGGAAUUCCAGGUGUAGGAGUGAAAUGCGUAGAUAUCUGGAGGAACAUCAGUGGCGAAGGCGACUAUCUGGCACAUAACUGACGCUGAGGAGCGAAAGCGUGGGUAGCAAACAGGAUUAGAUACCCUUGUAGUC
Molecule: ribosomal RNA, 465 nt
Filed under: uncultured bacterium
Lineage: Bacteria
Description: partial 16S ribosomal RNA
Rfam family: Bacterial small subunit ribosomal RNA
Source: RNAcentral